Long non-coding RNA from Gallus gallus (chicken), 1398 nucleotides. NCBI's taxonomy places the organism in Eukaryota, Metazoa, Chordata, Aves, Galliformes, Phasianidae. The record is from Ensembl.
AGUAGCUCUUUACAUAGAUUCCACAGCAAUAUCCAGGGGCAUCUCUGGACUGUCAAGAACUUAAGACUAGACUGAAUGCAUUUAGUGUAAUGCAUAUGAAUGUAAACACAUAAUUCUUUUGUAUGAAUUCUACAAGGUACUUCAAUUUAAGAAGCUCUAGUGAUGCUCAAAUGGGAAACAAGUUUGUGGAUUUCUUUCAGGUCAUGCUACUCCAGAGAGUAGAAGAGGAAACAGUGCAGUAGAAAGAGGUGGACUCCAUGGAUUCUGAACAGAGUGGGAGAGCUUCAUACAAAAUCUGGAGGGAAGAUGCACAGCUUUCCAGUCUGCAGUGCUUUCAACUGCAUAUCUAAUUCCCUGGAGUCCUUCUGCAGCAUCCAUACUGAAUGUACUGAAAGUAAGAUGCGACUUAAGAGCGCAUACCAAGUUUUAUUGCAGGCCCAAAGCUGAUUGUAAUCCAUAAUAAUCACUUUAAAUGUAAAUCAGUUUGUUUGGGUGAAUUUUUCAAUUGUUUAGUUCCCAGUAAAACAAACAAGCAAGCCCCAUUAUUUUUAUCAUCAUGACUAGCUCUUUCCUUAGCAUGUGUGCUUUCUUUUGUUUGAACUUGUCACAGAGCAAAAUCUUCCUUAAACGAUUCUUGCUAAAUGGACGUUGUCAUGUUCUUCUCAUUGCUUUCUUCUCAUCUUCACUUGUUCUCUGGUGUUGAAUGGGAUCUAAAUUUGAUUAAGUGAACCUAUCUACAAAUCCAAAGACUGUACUGUCUGCUGUGUUCAAGGGUUGAUCGGCUUGCUGGAUGUAAUCAUGUCUCUUAAAUUUCACGUAAGAGAAGACCACCAUCUGUUCUUUCACUGGCAGGUUUACCUCUUCCUAUAACAUGCAGAAACUAACAUUUGUGUCUCAUCUGAUGUGCAAUCAAAAGGGCUGGAAAGUGGUUGGACUGAGACAAUGCACUUUGUAGCCAUCAAGUACCACAACUAGCUCUCAGAAGAACACAGCGGGCACAGAGCUUUACUGACAUCAGCAAGUGUAGAACAGGGCCUUCGCUGCUGAUAAUGACAUGUGGAAAUACACUUAGUGAUAUUAUUUUUAACUCUUCCUGAAAACUACAGAAGUCUGGGUUUCCUUAUGGGAGCUGCAGGAAGUUGAACUCCCAACAGUUUUGUGCCGUGGAUGCAAAAUCUGUAACACUGAUGUAGAGGGCCUUCAAAUAUUUUGGUGCUGUUUAAACCCACAUUUUUCCUCUCUUCUGUUAUUUACUUCAGAUUUAAUAUACAGAAGUCAGGUUCCUUUUGUUCAUGGUUAUUUCAUGGAAAAAAUAUUAUCUUGCCUAAUGAAAGCGCUCAGACUCUAAACAGCACUGUUAGAAUCCUCCUAUGAUUUCUCCCAAAUAAAUGUUCUUCC